GACGAACGCUGGCGGCGUGCUUAACACAUGCAAGUCGAACGGUGAAGGGGUCUGCUUUUGUGGGCCCUGGAUGAGUGGCGAACGGGUGAGUAACACGUGAGUAACCUGCCCCCUUCUUCUGGAUAACCGCAUGAAAGUGUGGCUAAUACGGGAUAUUCUGGGUCUGUCGCAUGAUGGGUCUGGGAAAGAUUGCGCCUUUGGGUGUUUUUGGUGGGGGAUGGGCUCGCGGCCUAUCAGCUUGUUGGUGGGGUGAUGGCCUACCAAGGCGGUGACGGGUAGCCGGCCUGAGAGGGUGGACGGUCACACUGGGACUGAGACACGGCCCAGACUCCUACGGGAGGCAGCAGUGGGGAAUAUUGCACAAUGGGCGCAAGCCUGAUGCAGCGACGCCGCGUGAGGGAUGGAGGCCUUCGGGUUGUAAACCUCUUUCGCCAGUGAAGCAGGCCUGCUCCUUGUGGGUGGGUUGAUGGUAGCUGGAUAAGAAGCGCCGGCUAACUACGUG
RNAcentral lists this ribosomal RNA (502 nucleotides) under uncultured bacterium. Its description in RNAcentral is "partial 16S ribosomal RNA". It matches the Rfam family "Bacterial small subunit ribosomal RNA", at positions 28 to 507 of the family's 1533-position model. The record is from RNAcentral.